This 492-nucleotide ribosomal RNA is filed under the name uncultured bacterium. Its description in RNAcentral is "partial 16S ribosomal RNA". It matches the Rfam family "Bacterial small subunit ribosomal RNA", at positions 29 to 507 of the family's 1533-position model. The record is from RNAcentral.
AGUGAACGCUGGCGGUAGGCCUAACACAUGCAAGUCGAACGGCAGCACAGUAAGAGCUUGCUCUUACGGGUGGCGAGUGGCGGACGGGUGAGGAAUACAUCGGAAUCUACUUUUUCGUGGGGGAUAACGUAGGGAAACUUACGCUAAUACCGCAUACGACCUACGGGUGAAAGCAGGGGAUCUUCGGACCUUGCGCGAUUGAAUGAGCCGAUGUCGGAUUAGCUAGUUGGCGGGGUAAAGGCCCACCAAGGCGACGAUCCGUAGCUGGUCUGAGAGGAUGAUCCGCCACACUGGAACUGAGACACGGUCCAGACUCCUACGGGAGGCAGCAGUGGCGAAUAUUGGACAAUGGGCGCAAGCCUGAUCCAGCCAUACCGCGUGGGUGAAGAAGGCCUUCGGGUUGUAAAGCCCUUUUGUUGGGAAAGAAAAGCAGCAGGUUAAUACCCCGCUGUUCUGACGGUACCCAAAGAAUAAGCACCGGCUAACUUCGUG